Molecule: long non-coding RNA, 2412 nt
Filed under: Triticum aestivum (bread wheat)
Lineage: Eukaryota; Viridiplantae; Streptophyta; Magnoliopsida; Poales; Poaceae
Description: long non-coding RNA (TAES_LNC003554)
Source: RNAcentral
CCCCCUCCUCUUAUUUUUUUUUCACCUGUUGGGCUUGCCCCAGAUUCAGCCCGUCAUGUGUUUUUUUUUCAGCGCCUGAAUUUUUCCUAUUAUUCCUGAGACUGCCAGUUUUAUAGUUUAGUCCCCCUAGUUCAUGCAUUUAAUAACUCACUAACCGUGCAUCGGAUUAAAAUAAGUUAUAUAUGAAACUUGCUCAGAAUUUUGUGUAGAUUAAUAAUAUCCAACUUUCAUCUAUGUUUGAGAUGAUAAAAAUGCUAUUUGUUUAAUUUUUCUCAAAUGCCAUGUUAAAAUGCUUUAUUUCAUAACUAAAUAACCGUAACUCCAAUUUUAAUAAACUUUAUAUGUAAAUGGGGUAGAAUUUUGCCUAGUUUAUCAUGGUGGCCUUACUUUGCAUGUUUAACAACCCUAAAAUUGUGUUUAGGGCAGAACAGGACCUAAUCUAAAAUAUGCAUAUGGGGAGUUUCCGGAAUUGUUGUUCGUUGCUUCCGGCCUCAUUUAACCUUGACUAGAUAGGUAGUUUUCAUUUGCUUCACCCUCUUGCCAUGUUAACCAACAUUUAAUAUUGUUGAGUACAUAACCGAGAGAGAACUAAAUAAUUGUCGUGGUGUUUCGUCAAUAUGCAACUCGUUGCAUAUUGAGCUCCACUUAAUUUGUAGAACUGCUUGUGCACUUUGCCAUGCCAUGCCUCAUUAAACCGGACAUGCAUCAUACUCGUUUGUGCAUCAUGCCAUGUUGUUGUGGUGGUUGUUUACUAUGUUGUGUGCUUCUUUUCCGGUGAUUGCUUCUUCGGGUUGGUUCCGAUAACGUCGCGUUUGUGAGGAUCCGUUCAACUACGUCCGUUUGUCUUCUUCAUGGACUCGUUCUUCUUCCUUGCGGGAUUUCAGGCAAGAUGAUCAUACCCUCGAAAUCACUACUAUCUUUGCUAUGCUAGUUUGCUCGCUCUUUUGCCAUGCCAAUGCUACGAUGCCUACCACUUGCUUGUCAGCCACCCAAAUUGCCAUGUUCAGCCUCUAACCCACCAUGUCCUAGCAAACCGUUGAUUGGCUAUGUUAUCGCUUUGCUCAGCCCCUCUUAUAGCGUUGCUAGUUGCAGGUGAAGAUUGGAGCCGUUCCUUGUUGGAACUUUUAUUUACUUGUUGGGAUAUCACAAUAUAUCUUACUUAAUUAAUGCAUCUAUAUACUUGGUAAAGGGUGGAAGGCUCGGCCUUAUGCCUGGUGUUUUGUUCCACUCUUGCCGCCCUAGUUUCCGUCAUAUCGGUGUUAUGUUCCCGGAUUUUGCGUCCCUUACGCGGUUGGGCUAUAAUGGGAACCCCUUGACAGUUCGCCUUAAGUAAAGCUUCUCCAGCAAUGCCCAACAUUGGUUUUACCAUUUGCCACCUAGCUUUUUUUCCCUUGGGGGUCGCGCGCCCAAGGGUCAUCAUUAUUUUACCCCCCCCCCCCGGGCCAGUGCUCCUCUGAGUGUUGGUCCAACUGUCAGCUACCGGUGACCACCAGGGGCAACUCUGGGUUGGCCUACCCGUACCUAAGACAAUCUGAGUGUGCCCUGAGAAAGAGAUAUGUGCAGCUCCUAUCGGGAUUUGUCGGCACAUUCGGGCGGUGUUGCUGGUUUAGUUUUACCCUGUCGAAAUGUCUUGUUGUACCGGGAUACCGAGUCUGAUCGGAAUGUCUCGGGUGGAGGUCUAUUCCUUCGUUGACCGUGAGAGCUUGUCAUGGGCUAAGUUGGGACACCCCUGCAGGGAUUUGAACUUUCGAAAGUCGUGCCCGCGGUUAUGGGCAGAUGGGAAUUUGUUAACGUCCGGUUGUAGAAAACCCGAAGUUGACCUUAAUUAAAAUACAUCAACCGUGGGUGUAACCGUGAUGGUCUCUUUCCGGCGGAGUCCGGGAAGUGAACACGGUGUUGGAGUUAUGCUUGACGUAGGUUGCUAUAGGAUCACUUCUUGAUCAUACUUUUAUCGACCGUGCUUUGCCUUCUCUUCUCGCUCUCAUUUGCGUAUGUUAGCCACCAUAUAUGCUAGUCGCUUGCUGCAGCUCCACCUCAUUACUCCAUCCUUCCUAUAAGCUUAAAUAGUCUUGAUCUCGCGGGUGCGAGAUUGCUGAGUCCCUGUGGCUCACAGAUACUCCCAAAAACCAGUUUGUAGGUGCCGAUGAGUUUGUGCAGUUGACGCAACCAAGCUCAGGAGGAGCUCGAUGAAGAUCUUGUCAUUUGUGUUGUUUCCGUGCUAGUUGAUCAGUAGUGGAGCCCAGUUGGGGUCGAUCGGGGACCUUUGUCGCAUUUGGGGUUCUUCUUUUAGUUUGGUUCCGUAGUCGGACCUUGAUUGUAUCUGGAUGAUGUAAUGCUUUAUUCAUGUAAUUGUGUGAAGUGGCGAUUGUAAGCCAACUAUGCAUCUCUUUCCCUUAUUGUAUUACAUGGGUU